Molecule: ribosomal RNA, 585 nt
Filed under: Symbiodinium sp. Mp
Lineage: Eukaryota; Dinophyceae; Suessiales; Symbiodiniaceae
Description: partial Bacterial large subunit ribosomal RNA
Rfam family: Bacterial large subunit ribosomal RNA
Source: RNAcentral
GUAUUGUGAAUGAAAGGUGAAAAGAAUACCGAAAGGUAGGUGAAACAGAAUUAAAACUUACAAUGUCUCCAUGUGAUAUAACUGCUUGUGGAAGAAAGAAUUGUCGAAUUUCAAUCCCUUACUCAAGUGUUUAAAGCCCGAAUACUGGCGAUCUAACUAUACACGAACAUCUCUUAUAACUUACUUGAGUCUAUUGAAGAUUAAAAUGCUCAGGGGUACACACCUGCCAUCCAACAAAUAGUUAGCAGUUAAAUGUUAUACGAGCCAAUGUUAAUAUCUGGAUCUGUUCGAAAGAAAUAAUGCUGUCUAAUAGACGUCUCAAAUGCUCAAACUCUAUACCCAUAACACUACAACGCCUCAUUAAGCUAACUAAAAUAAGAUUCAUCUAGACAACUAUCCAUCAUUCGCAAUUUCGUUAAGAUGGGUAUUCGCUUAUGUAACAAAUGGGACAAGCCCAAAUAAGUAGCUAAAGCUUAUCUGUCUUAAAUCAAAUACUUCGUGUUUCAAUCUAAACAACUCAAAAGUAGGAUUAAUAGGAUCCAUCUUUUCAAAAGUGUGUAGCAUCUUAUGAGCUAAAUUAUCCAU